This is a long non-coding RNA of Colossoma macropomum (tambaqui), 1299 nucleotides long. RefSeq lists it as uncharacterized. Lineage: Eukaryota; Metazoa; Chordata; Actinopteri; Characiformes; Serrasalmidae. The transcript has 3 exons. The record is from RefSeq and is a predicted model, not a curated record.
UUUCCUGGGCAUUCCAACGGGGGACUCUUAUUUUGAAUAUAAACCCUGGUUUGGGAACAGGAAAGGGAAGUGUGGCAGCCAUUUUCUUGGAGGAUCAAGUUUGGGGAAGACAGGCCUGGUGGAUCAUUGCUGUUCAAGCCCUAACAAACUUUUACUCCUUUUCUACUCAUCUUUGUCCUUGAAGAGUGGAUCCCCCUCUAACUGUGGAGUUACCUCAAGGAACUGGACUGCUUUUGCCAUCAAACAUGUAGAAGGCCUCUGGCUGGUGUAAUUGGGGGAGGAGCCCAGGUCUCAAAAGAAGGCCUUCAAAAUGGCUGAAGGGAGAGAGGGGACACACCACUUGUAAUGUGUUUUAACUUGUUUGUGUUUUGAAAACUCUCGUGUUAGGAGUGUGCUUUUGUUUUGGGUAUUUUAGCAGUACUUCAUGUACAAGUGCUUGUCUCUUGUCUUAGAGGACUAUCAUCGCUAUACACGUAGUUAUAAUCACAUGCUCAGUAUUUUUGCGUUUUGCUGCACUCUCUUGUAGAGCGUUUACUUAGUUUUGCUAAAUGAACACUGGUUUUAUUAAACAUGUUUGUUUUCUUUGUCGAGUUGUUGCUGUGAAGAAUGCUGUUUGGUUCUGCUAUAUGCCGACCGGCCACUUGGUUAAGUACACCUACCUUGUAUCUACAAUCCUUGUCCAUUUUUGUCAAGCAUGUUUAUCGUAGGUUCACUUUGUAGCUGUACAAUUACGGACUGUAAUCCAUCUGCAUAAUUUGUUAGCCCCCUUCCACUCUGUUCUUCAGUGGUCAGGACCAACAUAGAGCAGGUGUUCACUGGGUGGUGGAUCAUUCUCAGAAAAGCACUGGUCAAAGGACGCUGCUCACAGGACACUGUUGCCUGGACUGUGUUACGUCCUCGGGCACGCACAUUCAACGAGCAGAAACCAACGCCAAGCAACGCUGGAGCUACGGGAAGUGAAAAGGCCCAAGAAGCGUGUUUCUACCGGCGUAGAGCAAUAUUUCCCAGUAAAAUUGAACCAAAAUCAGUCUUUUGUACGAUUUUUUUUUUUCUGUUCACUGUGAUAUAACAUUGUUUUCGAAAUGUCAUUUCAGAAAUUAUACACAUGUACAUGCUAUGCAUGUGUAUUACCCUCCAGCUCAGGGAUAUUAAUACAGCCUGUGUGGAAAGACCUUUCACAUUUAUCACAGGCAAUCUGUAAAACGAAAAGAUAAUAAUUUAAAUAAAUUAAAUAAAUUACCAGAUUUAAUUUUAAAUCUUGCUGACUUUCCAGUUAUACCUGGUUCAGCAGCAAAAAAC